GACAUUUAUUGUGACUUAUUUUACGCCCCAGCAUGGAGCUUGGCUUUGUGAACACUCCCUAUGAACUUGAAAAAAAUGUUUAUUCUGUAGUUGUUGGGUGAAAUGUUUAAUAAAUAUUAAUUAAGUUGGUUCAUAGUGAUUUUCAAGUCUUUUAAACAUUUACUGAAUUGAGGACACUCAUUUUAUAAAUUACUGACGUGGAGUGUUAACAUUUUUAACUAUAAUUAUAUAUUUGUCUAUUUCUCCCUUUUAUUUUUGUUCCUUUUGGUUUUUUGUAUUCUAAGCUUCUAUUAUUAGGUGUAUAAAAAUUUAGAAUUGAUUUCUUCAUGAUGAAUUGCAUUUUUUAUCAUUAUGAAAUUACCCAUUUUUAACUCUGGCAAUACAACUCACCUUAAGGUCUGCCUUCCUCAUAUUAGCAUAGCUACAUCAGCUUUCUUAGGUGUGGUGUUUGCAUGUUAUAACUUUUUUUCUUUAUAUUUGAAUAUCUAUCACAUAUUUUCUAGUAUUUUUCUUGAGCAGCACAUGUUCAUUGUUUUUAUUUAUCAGGAAGUUUCUUUACUUUUGAACAAAACACUUUUUAAAGAUAAAAAUUCUGUGUUUUUAUUUCUUAUUUUUUGAACACUAAAGAUGUCCUACUAUCUUCAGUUCUACCCUCUAUAGCUGUUUUCCUGUGUAUUAUGUAUCUUUUUUCUCUGGCUAAUUUUAACAUUGUCUCCAUAGCUUUAUGGUUUAGCAGUUUGGUUUUUCUCUUCUCUUAGGAAUGGUUUCCUCUCUAUUUAUCUUGCUUGUAUUCUGGUGAGUUUCCAAAAUCUGCGAAUAUUAUCUAUCUAUUUACAGUAUGAAAAACUUUGACUACUGUAUUGUUUGUAUUUUGACUGCCCUUUUCUUAUUUUCAUUUUCUUCUAGGACUCCAGUUAUACAUAUAUCAGGAAGCUUAAUACAAUCCCAGAGGUUUUACUUGAAAAAUAGAAUUUUAUUGAUAAAAAAUAGAAAACUUCAAAUCUAUCACAACUCAUCAACAGUCUACUCCUUUUAUGUAUUGGAAGCUUGUCAACUUCUUUUUGAAAAGUUAAAGUUAAGUUAGAGCUAAGACCAUAAACAUAUGAAGACUGUCUGAGAAGACAUGACUGGAAACUGAAUAGGGCUGGGCGUGGUGGCUCACACCUGUAAUCCCAACAAUUUGGGAGGCCGAGGCGGGGGGAUCACCUGAAGUCAAGAGUUCGAGACCAGCCUGGUCAACAUGGAGAAAUCCUGUUUCCACUAAGAAUACAAGAAUUAGCCAGGCGUGGUGGCAGGUGCCUGUAAUCCCAGCUACUCAGGUGGCUGAGGCAGGAGAAUUGCUUCAACCCGGGAGGCAGAGGUUGCAGUGAUCCAAGAUCAUGCCACUGCACUCCAGCCUGGGAGACAGAGAAAGACUCCAUCUCAGGGGAAAAAAAAGAAAAGAAAAGAAAAAGAAAAGAAAACUGAAUAAUACUCUAUUUUUCUACAAUGAAUCUAGAAGAAAAAGAAAAGACCAAAUAUAGGAUUACUUGAAUGAGACAAAAAAGAUGGAAUUUGGAGGACAAGACAAGAGAUACUAAGAAGAGUAAACCCAAUAAACAGACUGCAGCACAGAAAGGGUCCAGGACCAGGGAGGUGGCUUGUUCAGGAAAGAGUUAACUCAACAGGUCUGGGAUAUUCAAAUCCCACACAUUUCGAAAAAAAGUUCUCUCCUCAUUGGCUCCUGGGAGAAAAUCUCUACGUCUUUGGACUAUUCUUCCAGAUUGGAGACUGAAAAGAAGAGAAGUUAAGGAACUUGUCUAAGAUUAUCAAGCAAAAAUUUAAAGCUGAAGUUUCAAUAUUUUCUCAGAAAACAAGAAAAGUUAGUGAUCUCAUUAUAGAAAGACUGUUACAGUGGCUUCAGCAGAGUCAGUGGUUGUGUCAACAGCAUCUGGAGCAGAGAGGGCAAGCUUAGUUCAUAUGAAGCAGCAAUAGCAACAGAAGAAAAGGCAGUGACAUCACCCUCAGCUUGUUGGAGGAGCCUAUGGGCCAGCUAAUGAAAAAUACAGGAGUCUGAAUAGCAGGGGAAAGCUCUGGGUGUCAGCAAUAUAUUCAAGUAGAGAUAAACAGAAGAAGAUGUGAAGAAGUCAAUGAUAGGGUAGUAGUUCUGAACUUACCUGGUGACUAUGCCAAAUGGACAAUCAUUCAGAAAUCAGGCUCUGGGAGGUUUUUCUAUCUUCAGUAAUGCCUUCUAAGGUUUUUUGGGAAUCAUCUCCAUUCCAGCUAAUGAGAAAAGGAAGAGAGUAUUUUGGGUGUCUGGGAUUUCCUCUCUGGCACUCAUUCUCCUGUCACCCUGUGAAGAGGUGCCUUCUGCCAUGAUUAGAAGUUUCCUGAGAACUCCCCAGCCAUGCUGAACUGUGAGUCAAUUAAACCUCUUUCCUUUUUAUAAAUUACCCAGUCUUGGGAACUUCUUCACAGUAGCGUGAGAAUGGACUAAUAACGGUGUGUACUCUUCAUACAUUUUUAAGGAGAGGAAGAAGAUAAGUAGAGUUAUGUUUUAGAAGGGUAAAUAUGGUUGCAAUAAAGAAAAUAUUUUUCUGGGGUAAGUGAUUGAAGAUAAGUAAUUAGAUUACAUGCGAUUAAUGUCUGAAUGAGUCAAGGAGGAAAAAGAAGAUAGAUUAAAGAGAAUAUUUGAAUUAUACUUGACAUAACUUGAUUGCUCUUGAUGAGCAGGAAGGUGGAGAAGGGAUAGGCCUCACUUUUUGCAGGUUGUGCCUUUUAAAGACAUUUGAGUAAAAGGAAAGUGGAGACUGAAAUGCAGCUCUUGUUUAAUUUGCCAGUCCUUGAGUCCUGUUAGAACUAUAUAUUCCAACAGAAGCUGUGUUGUCUCCUAAAAUAUCCAACCAAGUGGGGCAUCUAUUUUUAAUUUAUUCACCAAUAGAAUAUCUUUUUCAAGUUUCAACAUCUAGAGAAGUACCAUUUUUCAAAAAUGCAGAAAACUGCUGCUUAACCUGGAAGUAGUUUUGGCUGAGGAAGUUAAGAAUGAUACUUGGGUUUAUGACUUGAGUUAUGGGUCAAGUUUUAGAGUUUUGUGUCUCAAUAUGCAGUCCUUGGAACACGAGCAUCAGCAUUGUUAGGUAACUUAUUAGAAAUAUAAAAUAUUCAAUCAGAAUACUCAAUUAGACUAUGCAUUUUAACAAGAUCAAUAGGUAAUUUAUAUUAACAUACAUGUUACAGUUUGGGAAGCACUGCUUUAAAGAUAAUGAAUGAAUGCCUCAGAAUUUGGUUAUUAGGGAGUAUUCCUCCAUGGGCCUGGCCAGAAGAUACUCCAGUUAUAGGAGAAAGCCAUGGGUCACCUCGUCCAAUGGGUUCUUGCUGUAUCUGUAGAAGACUCAGAGGAAGCAGGGACCUUUCCAAAGCUGUGAAGUAAGUAAAAUAAAAGGAGGAGGGAUUUGGUAAGCUGAUGGCAAUAAAAAUUUUUAAAAAUUG
Homo sapiens (human) is the source of this 3468-nucleotide long non-coding RNA. RefSeq lists it as uncharacterized. Lineage: Eukaryota; Metazoa; Chordata; Mammalia; Primates; Hominidae. The transcript is spliced from 11 exons. The record is from RefSeq and is a predicted model, not a curated record.